UGCUGCCCACUAGCUAACCUUUUUCUUUAUCAGAAUACAAAUAAUAAAGCAAAAGGAUCGCGCAUGGUGGUGGGGUUACAAAACCUUAAAACCGCUCAAUCUUUAUGGCUUUUUUUAUAUUAUCGCAGGAUAACAAUUAAUAAUUAAAUUGAUCAUUAUUAUUUUGUCUUCUGAUUAAUUAUGUUAUAUCUCCGAAGCGUGGUGCGGCCGGCAAAAGGAAUCUCAUCAUCUUCCUUCUGAAUGCUACAUCAGUGGAGAUCAUUGGCUUUUGUUUUCAAUAAUCAUAGCUCAUGGGUAACGGGUAUCUCUUCCUCUUCUAUUUCAUUGGCCAUAUAUCCAUUUUGUACUCUUUUCUUUUAUUUAUUAUAUUUUAUUUUUUCAGCUUAUUAUGGCUUCCUAUUCUUCUUAAUUUCGUCAUCAAUCAUCAUCUGUAGUUCCAAAUACCAGCUGUCAUGGCCCAUGUAACACACUCAUAUGGCGAUCUUGAUCUUCCGUUUUCAAUGAGUUUUUAGUAAUGAGAAGGGGCUCCUUGAUGAUUCCAAAAUGGUCCCCCAAUGUCUUCUAGUUAUAAAUUGCUUGCUAAUCUU
Molecule: long non-coding RNA, 587 nt
Filed under: Citrus maxima (pomelo)
Lineage: Eukaryota; Viridiplantae; Streptophyta; Magnoliopsida; Sapindales; Rutaceae
Description: long non-coding RNA (CMAX_LNC003209)
Source: RNAcentral